RNAcentral lists this transfer RNA (86 nucleotides) under Methanothermus fervidus DSM 2088. Its description in RNAcentral is "tRNA-Ser (TGA) (tRNA-Ser-TGA-1-1)". It matches the Rfam family "tRNA". Rfam says of the family: Transfer RNA (tRNA) molecules are approximately 80 nucleotides in length. Their secondary structure includes four short double-helical elements and three loops (D, anti-codon, and T loops). Lineage: Archaea; Methanobacteriati; Methanobacteriota; Methanobacteria; Methanobacteriales; Methanothermaceae. The record is from Rfam by way of RNAcentral.
GCCGGGGUAGCCUAGCCAGGUAAGGCGCGGGACUUGAGAUCCCGUGGGGCAUACGCCCCUCCUGGGUUCAAAUCCCAGCCCCGGCG